This 688-nucleotide ribosomal RNA is filed under the name uncultured bacterium. Its description in RNAcentral is "bacterial SSU rRNA". It matches the Rfam family "Bacterial small subunit ribosomal RNA", at positions 153 to 843 of the family's 1533-position model. The record is from RNAcentral.
GAAACGUGGACUAACAUCCCAUGACACUCUAGAGCCGCAUGGCUCUAGAUUUAAAAUUCCGGUGGUACGGGACGGGCACGCGCGACAUUAGGUAGUUGGCGGGGUAACGGCCCACCAAGCCGACGAUGUCUAGGGGUUCUGAGAGGAAGGUCCCCCACACUGGAACUGAGACACGGUCCAGACUCCUACGGGAGGCAGCAGUGAGGAAUAUUGGUCAAUGGGCGAGAGCCUGAACCAGCCAAGUCGCGUGAGGGAAGAAUGGUCUAUGGCCUGUAAACCUCUUUUGUCAGGGAAGAAUAAGGAUGACGAGUCAUUCGAUGCCAGUACUUGACGAAUAAGCAUCGGCUAACUCCGUGCCAGCAGCCGCGGUAAUACGGGGGAUGCGAGCGUUAUCCGGAUUUAUUGGGUUUAAAGGGCGCGUAGGCGGGACGUCAAGUCAGCGGUAAAAGACUGCAGCUAAACUGUAGCACGCCGUUGAAACUGGCGCCCUGGAGACGAGACGAGGGAGGCGGAACAAGUGAAGUAGCGGUGAAAUGCAUAGAUAUCACUUGGAACCCCGAUAGCGAAGGCAGCUUCCCAGGCUCGUUCUGACGCUGAUGCGCGAGAGCGUGGGUAGCGAACAGGAUUAGAUACCCUGGUAGUCCACGCCGUAAACGAUGCUCACUGGAUCUUGGCGAUACACAGCCAG